GCUUGUAAAGAGUGAUGUCGCUCGAGAGGAUUAUGGCUUUUACAGUGUCAUGGCCGCCAGGGACACAUCUGGCGAGACGUGCGGGAAAUGCCUCUACAAUCUGCCGCAGAUGAACCAUCAACCACAGGAAGUGGGAGGGUUUUAACUGGAGCUAAGGGUGCUGGGAUUGGACAUCGACCGAACCGAGAUGUUUGAGAACCACCCCCCUAAAGAACUGACCUCUUGCCACUUGAAACCUGCUCAUUGUUUCUAUUCCAUCCAAAUGUUUUCUAGCAUAUUGUCCCUCCUCCCCCCUCCCUUUCCCUUCCUCCCCUCUCCACCCUCUCCCUCCGUUUUCGGUGUGUGUAUGGAUGGCACGUCGGAGGAAAAAACGGACAUCGAUGAAGUGUGCGCUCUCACUCAUCAUUACCUUUAGAUUUUUGCUGCAUUUUUUCAGGUGCCAGAAUGUUUUGACAUAUCAACUGUGUUCCACUACCUACUCUCCAUCACCUCUGAGGCGUCGUCUUACUACCUUGUAUGAGAUGUCGCUCGAGGGCCUGCCAGGACCAGCUCAUCCAUCAUUCAUCUGUCCACGAUCUGAGUCCUGUGGAUCUAUGCAGAUGAGCCCCGCCUACCCUCCCUGACCACUGCCACCACCACCACCACCGCCACCACCGCCACUUUCACCAAUCCCCCUUGUCCUUUCUGUUGUAAAUAUGUUCUGAGGAUGUGGGAUCCCAAAAUGGCCGCCCCCACCCUUCCCAGCCCUCCCCAACACUCCCCUCCCCCCUCCCUCCCCCCCACUGUUGGAAUCUCACUGUGUUUUCUGUUCGCCUCCUUGGUUUUUGUCUGUUUUUUGAGAUUUUUGCCGCAUUUUUCUGUUGUCUAAAGCAGUGGUGUGAGUUGAUGAGUAGGACUAAGUUGGAUGUUAAAAAGACGAGAUAAAGAGGUCUUGAGAAAAAUAUACAAAAAAAAUGAAGCUUGAAUUGAGAAAAAGGGUUCAAAUAUAGAGAAAAAAAUAUGAUGAAGUUGUCAUAUUGUCAUACUAGAGAUGCUUUAGUUUGCUAAUUUACUUUCUUUUUUUUCUACAAAAGACUUGGAUGAAAUUAUUUAUAAAAUGCGUCCCACGAGUCAUGAUCUUUUUUGGACGUAAAACAAAUACAUUUAUUAACAUUUUGUUCAAAAGAAAAUAAAUAUAAAUUAUGUUAAACAUUACUGGUGUUUGUGAUUUUUUUCACUGGGUGUCUUUGACUUUUGUUAUGGAAUCGGAAUGAGGUCAAUGUGUUAUAAAAGGUGCAAUAUGUAAAAAAUUGCCAUCUGUCUACUUUAUAUAGCAACAAAUUGGGUGCUGUGUAUCGCUAGCGAUCGUUAACUGCUGCUAGCCUUAGCUUCCAUUAGCUACUGUAGCGGUCCGGACUGGGAGCACCAGGGUAGUGUUGGUGUUGACACCACAAGCUUUGGACCAUGACGGGCUGGAGCUAGCUGGUUAGCAUGCUAACCUCAGUAGAUAUCUUUGCAACAGCAGUACUCAGACGUCCUAAUGUCAACACUGCUUUUGUUGCUCACAAUCUGUUGCUCAUGAAACAUUUCUCAAAUCUAACAUAUUGCACCUUUCAAAAAAUAAGCGCAUUGGAAUAAAAUGCGUCGAGUAUAUAAAUAAAGCAACAGUUUUGGGGAAGUAUUUCAAGAGAUUAUUAAAACUCAACUCAUUAUUUCAACAAAUUUUAUUUUACCAUUAAUUUUCACAAUGACAGAAUUUCUAUUUCAAAGCACCUAUUUUCAAAAAUGUGCUUUUAUUUCACAGUGACACCUGACUUAAUGUACAUUUGUAAUUCAGAAGGAAACUGUUCGUCACACCCUCAUCGCCUGGCAGAUUUCAUGCCCCCUGCCUCCUUGUAGCUAGCAAGCUCAACAAGUGGUACCAAAUCUAGCCUGUUAGCGAGGGCAACAACGAUGUCAAAGUCAUUUUCCACCAACUAGAAAUUCCUGCUGUAAAUAAGCACAUUACAUGGAUGCAUAACUGAAUAAACCAGCUAAACUGACUCUUUAAUAUCCAACACUUUCUGGAUUUCUGGAACACUAUCUGGAUUAACAGAUAGUAAAGCAUCUGCUGUGACACACACAGUUCAUUUCAGUUUCUCACACUGGCCAGCAGAGGGAAGUAUAGCAUCAUAUCCAAAAAUUCAGACCAGAUGUCCUCAUGAAGCAGAUUUUAUGAGCAGCUACAGCACUGUAUGCCCUGUCACUCUCCAACCAGAACAGCAGUCACUUCUCAUUUCCACUCACUCUCCGGUCCUGAUUGCUUUCCAUCAGGCGCUCUCCCAAUGAGUCAUUUUCUUUCCUCUUUCCACACAGCAGUGUUUCCUCAAGUGCAAAACAUCAUUUAGUCCUGGAGAGUCUCAAAAUCUGAUUUCACACCUGUGGGCAUCAUCAGCUUGAUGAAGUUAUAAAUAUUCUCCAAACGGGCAAAACAUCUGUACCCAAAGAAAUGAUCUCACGUCUCGGGCAGGCUUCUUAAAACCUAUGAUAAAUUAAAAACAAAAUCUGUGUUUAUUAUACGUCAGGUUGGAUUCAGCUUGUGAUUGUAUUAUAUACAUUACAUUCGAUCUUGUGAAAGACUGAAAUUUCUGAUUUGUGAAAUGUUCUGCCGAUGUUUUGUGUUUCAUCCAACAGAUCCUCUCCCAAAACCUGCGUGCUACACCUUUAACCAGAUUUCUCUGAGGGGGCCACAUGAGGGCAGCAGAAACAAGCAGUGAACACAAUAUUGUCAACUUAUUAAACUGACAUGGCAUUAGCAAACAGUAGCAUGCUAGUUUGCUAUGCUACCAUGCUACGUUGCAACUCGCGCAAUUUCGUCAUACAUUCGGCAAAAUCAGUGUUUAUUUGGGGGAUCAUUCCGUAAAUAUGAUUGUGGAGUAAUUCUGUUUUUAAUGACUUUAGCGUCCCUCAAUAAGCAGCAGGGAGUCGCAGGAUUCAUGAACCUCUUAAGUCUGUAUUAGUUCAGUUUAAUUUAUUUGUUUAAGUGUGGUUUAGGAAACACAUGUGAGUCGCAUUCACUGGUUGUUUAUGCACACACACAUAUGACACAUUUUAAAAAGAAACUGACAUAGGUAGGUAGAUAGGUAGAUAGAUCUUACUACAGGUGAGUGGCAGGUGAGUAGCAAAUCAUCUACACCUAACAGACAUUUCUGUGAAAGCUUGUGAUGCAAUGGUUAGCACUGAUUAUUGUCAGUGCUCCUUUGCAUAGCUGUGUUUGCCCUGCUAUAACGCAUCUGUUAAAACUGGCUUAAUUUGAUAGAGUAGUCAAGAGGUGUGCAAUUUAUCUUCAAGCAGUGGGUGUCAAACUCUGGGUUGUGACACACUAGUGGCUUGCAGCAUCGGGACAGGUGUGUCGUGGGAAAGCUGUAAUGGCUGUAAUGCAGGGUAAGUAAGAACAGAAGAUGGAAUCACACACACUACCAAAAGUGGACUGAAUUAUUCAUUCCAAGGAUAUAUCUUGUUAUCCUGAUAUAUCUAGG
Sparus aurata (gilthead seabream) is the source of this 3497-nucleotide long non-coding RNA. NCBI's taxonomy places the organism in Eukaryota, Metazoa, Chordata, Actinopteri, Spariformes, Sparidae. The record is from Ensembl.